This 102-nucleotide small RNA is filed under the name bovine gut metagenome. RNAcentral describes it as "RT-5 RNA". It matches the Rfam family "RT-5 RNA". From Rfam's summary of the family: Clostridium (Firmicutes). Environment (Cow rumen (57)) The record is from RNAcentral.
UUGCGCCUGCGGCGGGUCAGGCACGGCAGACACGAAGCUUCGCAGGCAGCUUGUCCGUGUACGACCUCGUACAUUCCGGAACUUCCGGUAUUUAAUUCUUUC